RNAcentral lists this small nuclear RNA (300 nucleotides) under Castor canadensis (American beaver). RNAcentral describes it as "7SK RNA (ENSCCNG00000028280.1)". It matches the Rfam family "7SK RNA". From Rfam's summary of the family: 7SK was discovered as an abundant small nuclear RNA in the mid-70s but a possible function has only recently been suggested. Two independent studies have found that 7SK RNA binds the CDK9/cyclin T complex (known as elongation factor P-TEFb). P-TEFb activates transcription by phosphorylating the C-terminal domain of RNA polymerase II. The record is from Rfam by way of RNAcentral. Lineage: Eukaryota; Metazoa; Chordata; Mammalia; Rodentia; Castoridae.
GGAUGUGAGAGUUAUCUGGCUGCGACAUCUGUCAUCCCAUUGAUCGGCAGGGUUGACUCAGCUGAUCUGGCUGGCUAGGUGAGUGUCCCCUUCCUUCCUCACCGCUCCAUGUGUGUCCCUCCUGAAGCUCGGUUGAAGAGGAGACCAUCCCCGAUAGAGGAGGUCCAUUCUUCGUUCUUGGGUCAAAGGUAUACCAGCAGCUGUGUUCCCCUGCUAGAACCUCCAAACAAGCUCUCAAGGAUAUUAAAAAAACCAAAAAAACAAAAAACCACAACCUCUUUUUAUGUCCCUAUGGUGAGA